This 744-nucleotide ribosomal RNA is filed under the name uncultured bacterium. Its description in RNAcentral is "bacterial SSU rRNA". It matches the Rfam family "Bacterial small subunit ribosomal RNA", at positions 8 to 796 of the family's 1533-position model. The record is from RNAcentral.
AGAGUUUGAUCAUGGCUCAGAGCGAACGCUGGCGGCAGGCUUAACACAUGCAAGUCGAGCGGGCGUAGCAAUACGUCAGCGGCAGACGGGUGAGUAACGCGUGGGAACGUACCUUUUGGUUCGGAACAACCCAGGGAAACUUGGGCUAAUACCGGAUAAGCCCUUACGGGGAAAGAUUUAUCGCCGAAAGAUCGGCCCGCGUCUGAUUAGCUAGUUGGUGAGGUAACGGCUCACCAAGGCGACGAUCAGUAGCUGGUCUGAGAGGAUGAUCAGCCACAUUGGGACUGAGACACGGCCCAAACUCCUACGGGAGGCAGCAGUGGGGAAUAUUGGACAAUGGGCGCAAGCCUGAUCCAGCCAUGCCGCGUGAGUGAUGAAGGCCCUAGGGUUGUAAAGCUCUUUUGUGCGGGAAGAUAAUGACGGUACCGCAAGAAUAAGCCCCGGCUAACUUCGUGCCAGCAGCCGCGGUAAUACGAAGGGGGCUAGCGUUGCUCGGAAUCACUGGGCGUAAAGGGUGCGUAGGCGGGUCUUUAAGUCAGGGGUGAAAUCCUGGAGCUCAACUCCAGAACUGCCCUUGAUACUGAGGAUCUUGAGUUCGGGAGAGGUGAGUGGAACUGCGAGUGUAGAGGUGAAAUUCGUAGAUAUUCGCAAGAACACCAGUGGCGAAGGCGGCUCACUGGCCCGAUACUGACGCUGAGGCACGAAAGCGUGGGGAGCAAACAGGAUUAGAUACCCUAGUAGUCC